AUAAAUAUGAAAAGCUUAGGUUGCUGAUGCAAUAAGAGGGAAACGGGUGAGAGUCCCGUACGGUCCCGCCGCCGUAAGGUGAAGCAAAUUCAAGGAUGCCACUGUUUUGAAUGGGAAGGCUGAAUUUGCAGUGAAACCAAGUCGGAAUACCUGCCUGAGCCAUAUUACACAC
This 172-nucleotide non-coding RNA is filed under the name Gracilibacter sp. Lineage: Bacteria; Bacillati; Bacillota; Clostridia; Eubacteriales; Gracilibacteraceae. The record is from RNAcentral.